RNAcentral lists this small nucleolar RNA (136 nucleotides) under Tetraodon nigroviridis (spotted green pufferfish). RNAcentral describes it as "Small nucleolar RNA SNORA38 (ENSTNIG00000020574.1)". The record is from RNAcentral. Lineage: Eukaryota; Metazoa; Chordata; Actinopteri; Tetraodontiformes; Tetraodontidae.
UCCUCUUACAAAGGCGCACUUGCACUGGUUUGCUUGUCUGUGCGUAAGAACUGGAGGAAAAGCAAAAUGAACAGUGACGACUUUUCUCUGGCUGCACUUGCAGUUGACCUGCGUCUGUUCAGAUAUUUCAAUUCAA